UUGUAUGAGCCCUGCAGUUUCAGGUUGUCACAGCUUGUCUGUCUUGUCUUGUGUUGUGCAGGAGGGAAGGCAGGCACACACAAUGUUCUUGCAAAGCAAGCAAGCAAGCAAGGCCACCCAGACCCCCCUCACAAAAUCAGCAUGUUUCCCAUUUCUCUCUUUGGUGGAGCCUCAUGGUGGCCUUGUGAGGGUCACCACCAACACCCAGACAAGACAACCCCUGGCUCUGCUCUCUCUCUCCCCCUCCCUCUCUCUCUCUCUCUCACAUACAUAGCCCACAUUUACAUGAGAAAAACACUCCAAGUCAAACCCUAAGUAGUGUUAAAUUAAUUGUAAGUUAAGAGGACCAUCACUGAUUCCAACAUGGGACAGACAGAAACCCUAAAAAAAUCUAAGAGCCAUUCUUACAACUUGCAGCCCCCACACCCAGUUUCAAGGUCAAAUCUGCAACCUCCAUGCUUGAGUGUAGUGAGGAAGAGGAGGAGGAAGAAGACCAUUCCUACUUGGAAAUUUGUGUGGGUGGGUUUUUUUUUUUUUUUUUAAUUUUUAAUUUUUUUUUCUUGAUUUGCUUGAUGUGCUGUAUGCUAGUAAUCUUUCAAGGCUUGGAGCCACCCACUAAAACAUGUUGCUUCUUUCAUUUCCAAGUACUGCAUGCACUGGCAUGUUCUCCCCCAAAGCAUGUGAAAUGUUCUAAAGGAAGAUGGUCUUUGCUUGUAAAGUGUGAAGUGUACUGCAUCCUUGGACACUAAAACUGUGGCAUCACUGGUCUUUCAAUUUAGUUUUAAGAAAGAUGUCUCUUCUUCAUUACAUCUCCACACUGUCAUUAUACUUGGCUAAAGUGUACCUGGGUGGUGUCGAGCAUAAAGUCCAUGUUUGUGAGAGUGCCACUCAGUUUUUUAAUGUUUACUAAACUAUGACAUAGUUGACAUAAUGUCACAGUUUAGUAAUAGUAAUAAUGUAUCAGUCAGAAUGUAUAUAUAUUUAUAUUUAUUCAACUAAUUAAAAGUGGGCUCAUUUUAAUAUGGACAACUAAGAAUGUUCCAUCUUUUACAGUCAGUUCAAGAAGAAGUUGAACAGAGCAAACAUUGUGGUGAUUGGGCACUUAUGAACUGCUAAAAGUUUGUGAAGUUGGUUAUACCUCUAAAUCCAGUUUAAUUGUUUAGUGCUAACAACAAUAGUCCAAGGAGAAACAUGGAAGAAUCAACUUAAAUAUCAAUAAAUGAAAAAAUCCAGUAUCUUGCUAAUUGUGUGCAAUUUUCUCUUUGAAUGAAAUUUAAUGUACAUAUAUAUAUAUAUAUAUAUAUAUAUAUAUAUAUAAAAAUAAAAACUCCCUAACCUGUUAAGCUCCAAACCACUAGCUCAGACAAUCCACUCAGUUACCUCACAACUAAAACCAAGUUCUUUUGAACAUUGAAUCAGGGCAAUCUUCUGACAAUAAACAAGAUCAACACUUC
This 1454-nucleotide long non-coding RNA is filed under the name Physcomitrium patens. Its description in RNAcentral is "long non-coding RNA (PPAT_LNC002792)". Lineage: Eukaryota; Viridiplantae; Streptophyta; Bryopsida; Funariales; Funariaceae. The record is from RNAcentral.